GACGAACGCUGGCGGCGUGCUUAACACAUGCAAGUCGAACGGUAAGGCCCUUCGGGGUACACGAGUGGCGAACGGGUGAGUAACACGUGGGUGAUCUGCCCUGCACUUCGGGAUAAGCCUGGGAAACUGGGUCUAAUACCGGAUAGGACCACUGCCUGCAUGGGGGGUGGUGGAAAGCUUUUGCGGUGUGGGAUGGGCCCGCGGCCUAUCCGCUUGUUGGUGGGGUGAUGGCCUACCAAGGCGACGACGGGUAGCCGGCCGGAGAGGGUGACCGGCCACACUGGGACUGAGAUACGGCCCAGACUCCUACGGGAGGCAGCAGUGGGGAAUAUUGCACAAUGGGCGCAAGCCUGAUGCAGCGACGCCGCGUGAGGGAUGACGGCCUUCGGGUUGUAAACCUCUUUCAGCACCGACGAAGCGCAAGUGACGGUAGGUGCAGAAGAAGGACCGGCCAACUACGUGCCAGCCGCCGCCGUAA
Molecule: ribosomal RNA, 478 nt
Filed under: uncultured bacterium
Lineage: Bacteria
Description: partial 16S ribosomal RNA
Rfam family: Bacterial small subunit ribosomal RNA
Source: RNAcentral